UACGGAGGGUGCGAGCGUUAUUCGGAAUUACUGGGCGUAAAGGGCACGUAGGCGGACUUGUAAGUAAGAUGUGAAAUCCCAGGGCUCAACCUGGGAAUAGCAUUUUAUACUGGGAGUCUUGAGUACUCUAGAGGUGGGUAGAAUUCCACGUGUAGAGGUGAAAUGCGUAGAGAUCUGGGAGAAUACCAAAGGCGAAGGCAGCCCAUUGGG
This 210-nucleotide ribosomal RNA is filed under the name uncultured bacterium. Its description in RNAcentral is "partial 16S ribosomal RNA". It matches the Rfam family "Bacterial small subunit ribosomal RNA", at positions 524 to 733 of the family's 1533-position model. The record is from RNAcentral.